GUUUGAUCAUGGCUCACAACGAACGCUGGCGGCAGGCUUAACACAUGCAAGUCGAGCGCCCCGCAAGGGGAGCGGCAGACGGGUGAGUAACGCGUGGGAAUGUACCUUUUGCUACGGAAUAACUCANGGAAACUUGUGCUAAUACCGUAUGUGCCCUUCGGGGGAAAGAUUUAUCGGCAAAGGAUGAGCCCGCGUUGGAUUAGCUAGUUGGUGGGGUAAAGGCCCACCAAGGCGACGAUCCAUAGCUGGUCUGAGAGGAUGAUCAGCCACACUGGGACUGAGACACGGCCCANACUCCUNGGGAGGCAGCAGUGGGGAAUAUUGGACAAUGGGCGCAAGCCUGAUCCAGCCAUGCCGNGUGAGUGAUGAAGGCCCUAGGGUUGUAAAGCUCUUUC
RNAcentral lists this ribosomal RNA (395 nucleotides) under uncultured bacterium. RNAcentral describes it as "bacterial SSU rRNA". It matches the Rfam family "Bacterial small subunit ribosomal RNA", at positions 11 to 437 of the family's 1533-position model. The record is from RNAcentral.